This 166-nucleotide small RNA is filed under the name Parus major (Great Tit). RNAcentral's name for it is "TUC338 (ENSPMJG00000019366.1)". Lineage: Eukaryota; Metazoa; Chordata; Aves; Passeriformes; Paridae. The record is from RNAcentral.
CUAACAAUUCUGGCAAGAUACUCUAUCCAGGUACAGCACAAAGUGAGUGAGAGCCAGCUUUCUGUACACUGUCCUGCCAAGAAACCAUCACUCUGAUCUGGAGAAAGGAACCUCUAGGCAUGACAGGAGAGUUGGCUCUCCAUAAUCCAUUCAGCCCUCAGCUUUU